Molecule: ribosomal RNA, 442 nt
Filed under: uncultured bacterium
Lineage: Bacteria
Description: partial 16S ribosomal RNA
Rfam family: Bacterial small subunit ribosomal RNA
Source: RNAcentral
CCUACGGGGUGCUGCAGUGGGGAAUAUUGGGCAAUGGACGCAAGUCUGACCCAGCAACGCCGCGUGAAGGAAGAAGGCUUUCGGGUUGUAAACUUCUUUUAAGGGGGAAGAGCAGAAGACGGUACCCCUUGAAUAAGCCACGGCUAACUACGUGCCAGCAGCCGCGGUAAUACGUAGGUGGCAAGCGUUGUCCGGAUUUACUGGGUGUAAAGGGCGUGUAGCCGGGUUGACAAGUCAGAUGUGAAAUCCUGCGGCUUAACCGCAGAACUGCAUUUGAAACUGUUGAUCUUGAGUACUGGAGAGGCAGACGGAAUUCCUAGUGUAGCGGUGAAAUGCGUAGAUAUUAGGAGGAACACCAGUGGCGAAGGCGAUCUGCUGGACAGCAACUGACGGUGAGGCGCGAAAGCGUGGGGAGCAAACAGGAUUAGAUACCCUUGUAGUC